Molecule: ribosomal RNA, 79 nt
Filed under: Citrobacter freundii
Lineage: Bacteria; Pseudomonadati; Pseudomonadota; Gammaproteobacteria; Enterobacterales; Enterobacteriaceae
Also listed under: 2 other names
Description: partial 23S ribosomal RNA
Rfam family: Bacterial large subunit ribosomal RNA
Source: RNAcentral
ACGACGUUGAUAGGUCGGGUGUGUAAGUGUAGCGAUACAUUGAGCUAACCGAUACUAAUGAACCGUGAGGCUUAACCUU